RNAcentral lists this ribosomal RNA (207 nucleotides) under uncultured bacterium. Its description in RNAcentral is "partial 16S ribosomal RNA". It matches the Rfam family "Bacterial small subunit ribosomal RNA", at positions 568 to 774 of the family's 1533-position model. The record is from RNAcentral.
CACGUAGGCGGCUUUCUAAGUCGGGGGUGAAAUCCCGGAGCUCAACUCCAGAACUGCCUUCGAUACUGGAAAGCUCGAGUCCGGGAGAGGUGAGUGGAACUGCGAGUGUAGAGGUGAAAUUCGUAGAUAUUCGCAAGAACACCAGUGGCGAAGGCGGCUCACUGGCCCGGUACUGACGCUGAGGUGCGAAAGCGUGGGGAGCAAACA